This 1519-nucleotide long non-coding RNA is filed under the name Junco hyemalis (dark-eyed junco). RNAcentral's name for it is "lncRNA (ENSJHYG00000010917.1)". Lineage: Eukaryota; Metazoa; Chordata; Aves; Passeriformes; Passerellidae. The record is from RNAcentral.
GUUGUCGUUUCCACUGUUGUUUAUUAUUCCCAUUGUUUAUCAUUCCCGUUGCUGUUGCUGUUCAUUCCCAUUGUUGUUUGUUCAUUCCCAUUCCUAUUGUUGUUUGUUCCCACUGUUGUUGCUGAUUCCCAUUGUUGCCGUUUCUCUUUCCCGCUGUUGUUUAUCAUUCCUGCUGUUGUUGUUUCUCAUUCUCACUGUUGUUGUUUAUCAGUCCCGCUGUUGUUUAUCAUUCCCGUUAUUUAUCAUUCCUGCUGUUGUAUAUCAUUCCCAUUCCCGCUGUUGUUUAUCAUUCCCGCCGUUGUUCAUCAUUCCUGUUGUUGCUCAUUCCUGCUGUUGCUGUUGUUCAUUCCUGCUGUUGUUGUUCAUUCCCGCUGUUGUUGUUCAUUCCCGCUGUUGGUUAUCAUUCCCUCUGUUGUUGUUUAUCAUUCCCGCCGUUGUUUAUCAUUCUCACUGUUGCCAUUUCUCAUUCUCAUUGUUGUUGUUAAUUCCUGCUGUUGUUUAUCAUUCCCGUUGUUGUUGUUUACCAUUCCCAUUGUUGUUCAUUCUCGUUGUUGUCGUUUGUCAUUCCCGCUGUUGUUUAUCAUUCCCGCUGUUGUUGUCAUUCCCAUUGUUGCCGUUUCUCAUUCCUGCUGUUGUUUACCAUUCCCACUGUUGUUUAUCAUUCCCGCCGUUGUUUAUCAUUCCUGCUGUUGCCGUUUCUCAUUCCCAUUGUUGUUGUUAAUUCCUGCUGUUGUUUAUCAUUCCCCCUGUUGUUUAUCAUUCCAGUUGUUGCCUUUUUUCAUUCCCAUUGUUGUUGUUAAUUCCUGCUGUUGUUUAUCAUUCCCGUUGUUGUUGUUUACCAUUCCCAUUGUUGUUCAUUCUCGUUGUUGGUGUUUAUCAUUCCCGCUGUUGUUUCUCAUUCCCACUGUUGUUUAUCAUUCCCACUGUUGUUUAUCAUUCCCACUGUUGUUUAUCAUUCCCACUGUUGCCGUUUCUCAUUCCCGCUGUUUUUAUCACUCCCGCUGUUGCCAUUUCUCAUUCCCAUUGUUGUUGUUAAUUCCUGCUGUUGUUUAUCAUUCCCACUGUUGUUGUUUCUCAUUCCUGCUGUUGUUUAUGAUUCCCACUGUUGUUUAUCACUCCCACUGUUGUUUAUCAUUCCCGCUGCUGUUUAUCAUUCCCAUUGUUAUUUAUAAUUCUGUUGUUUAUCAUUCCCACUGUUAUUUAUAAUUCCCACUGUUGUUUAUCAUUUCCAUUCCUGUUGUUUCUCAUUCCCGUUGUUGUUCAUUCCCGCUGUUGUUUAUCCUUCCUGUUGUUGUUCAUUCUCGUUGUUGCUGUUUAUCAUUCCCGCUGUUGUUUAUCUUUCCCGCCGUUGUUUAUCAUUCCCAUUCCCGUUGUUUCUCAUUCCGGUUUCCAUUGCCGUUGUUUAUCGGGGGUUCCAGGUCGGAGCUGAACGAGCACCUGGACACGAUCGACUCGAGCCUGGACAAUCUGCAGGCGCUGCUGAGCACGCACGGCUUCAGCAUGGACAGCGCCCUGCUCG